This 217-nucleotide unclassified non-coding RNA is filed under the name Hevea brasiliensis (rubber tree). The record is from RNAcentral. Lineage: Eukaryota; Viridiplantae; Streptophyta; Magnoliopsida; Malpighiales; Euphorbiaceae.
GACAGCCACUUCUGCUUACCAGGUAUAAAUUAACCUUUAUGUACUUGUUUCACUCUCAUGUUAGAAUGAAAGUUCUUCCUAUUUUUACUUGUCUAAAAGGAUGACAAUAAUUGACUAAUUAAUACACAAUUAUUCAAUACCUCAUAUAGGAUUAUGCAUAGAAAUAUUUAUUUAAUACCUCAUUUAUGGUAUUUAGAUCGAAGGUGAAGCAACAACA